AACGCUAGCUACAGGCUUAACACAUGCAAGUCGAGGGGAAACGAUGGGAGGGCUUGCCCUCCCAGGCGUCGACCGGCGCACGGGUGAGUAACACGUAUCCAACCUGCCCUCUUCCGGGGAACAACCUUGCGAAAGUAAGACUAAUGCCCCAUGUGUCCUCAGACGGCAUCAGACGAGGACGAAAGAUUUAUCGGAAGUGGAUGGGGAUGCGCCUGAUUAGGCAGUUGGCGGGGCAACGGCCCACCAAGCCGACGAUCAGUAGGGGUUUUGAGAGGAAGGUCCCCCACAUUGGAACUGAGACACGGUCCAAACUCCUACGGGAGGCAGCAGUGAGGAAUAUUGGUCAAUGGGCGAGAGCCUGAACCAGCCAAGUAGCGUGCAGGAUGACGGCCCUAUGGGUUGUAAACUGCUUUUAUGUGGGGAUAAAGUGAGCCACGUGUGACUCAUUGCAGGUACCACAUGAAUAAGGACCGGCUAAUUCCGUGCCAGCAGCCGCGGUAAUACGGAAGGUCCGGGCGUUAUCCGGAUUUAUUGGGUUUAAAGGGAGCGUAGGCCGUGCUUUAAGCGUGUUGUGAAAUGUAGACGCUCAACGUCUGAAUUGCAGCGCGAACUGGGGCACUUGAGUGCGCACGAGGCAGGCGGAAUUCGUGGUGUAGCGGUGAAAUGCUUAGAUAUCACGAAGAACUCCGAUUG
RNAcentral lists this ribosomal RNA (693 nucleotides) under uncultured bacterium. Its description in RNAcentral is "bacterial SSU rRNA". It matches the Rfam family "Bacterial small subunit ribosomal RNA", at positions 32 to 715 of the family's 1533-position model. The record is from RNAcentral.